This 274-nucleotide ribosomal RNA is filed under the name uncultured bacterium. Its description in RNAcentral is "partial 16S ribosomal RNA". It matches the Rfam family "Bacterial small subunit ribosomal RNA", at positions 523 to 796 of the family's 1533-position model. The record is from RNAcentral.
AUACGGAGGGAGCAAGCGUUGUUCGGAUUUACUGGGCGUAAAGCGUACGUAGGUGGCACAGCAAGUCGGGAGUGAAAUCCCACGGCUCAACCGUGGAAGUGCUUUCGAAACUGCUGUGCUAGAGGAUGAGAGGGGAAGGCGGAAUUCCAGGUGUAGCGGUGAAAUGCACAGAUAUCUGGAGGAACACCGGUGGCGAAGGCGGCCUUCUGGAUCAUACCUGACACUGAGGUACGAAAGCGUGGGGAGCGAACAGGAUUAGAUACCCCAGUAGUCC